GAGUUUGAUCGUGGCUCAGGAUGAACGCUGGCGGCGUGCCUAAUACAUGCAAGUCGAGCGAACAGACGAGGAGCUUGCUCCUCUGACGUUAGCGGCGGACGGGUGAGUAACACGUGGAUAACCUACCUAUAAGACUGGGAUAACUUCGGGAAACCGGAGCUAAUACCGAAUAAUAUAUUGAACCGCAUGGUUCAAUAGUGAAAAACGGUUUUGCUGUCACUUAUAGAUGGAUCCGCGCCGCAUUAGCUAGUUGGUAGGGUAACGGCUUACCAAGGCGACGAUGCGUAGCCGACCUGAGAGGGUGAUCGGCCACACUGGAACUGAGACACGGUCCAGACUCCUACGGGAGGCAGCAGUAGGGAAUCUUCCGCAAUGGGCGAAAGCCUGACGGAGCAACGCCGCGUGAGUGAUGAAGGUCUUCGGAUCGUAAAACUCUGUUAUUAGGGAAGAACAAAUGUGU
Molecule: ribosomal RNA, 460 nt
Filed under: uncultured microorganism
Description: bacterial SSU rRNA
Rfam family: Bacterial small subunit ribosomal RNA
Source: RNAcentral